AAAGUCGUAACAAGGUUUCCGUAGGUGAACCUGCGGAAGGAUCAUUAAAGAGACGUUGCCCUUCGGGGUAUACCUCCCACCCAUUGUUUAUUAUACCUUUGUUGCUUUGGCAGGCCCGCCCCCGGGCUGCUGGCUCCGGCCGGCUAGUGCCUGCCAGAGGACCUAAACUCUGUUUGUUUGUGAUGUCUGAGUACUAUAUAAUAGUUAAAACUUUCAACAACGGAUCUCUUGGUUCUG
This 237-nucleotide unclassified non-coding RNA is filed under the name Ascomycota sp. Its description in RNAcentral is "partial contains small subunit ribosomal RNA, internal transcribed spacer 1, and 5.8S ribosomal RNA". The stretch from base 1 to 47 matches the Rfam family "Eukaryotic small subunit ribosomal RNA", at positions 1785 to 1831 of the family's 1831-position model. The record is from RNAcentral. Lineage: Eukaryota; Fungi; Ascomycota.